This 24-nucleotide non-coding RNA is filed under the name Arabidopsis thaliana (thale cress). The record is from RNAcentral. Lineage: Eukaryota; Viridiplantae; Streptophyta; Magnoliopsida; Brassicales; Brassicaceae.
UCACAAUGUCUCUCAUGAAUGCCU